UACGGGGGGGGCAAGCGUUGUUCGGAAUUACUGGGCGUAAAGGGUUUGUAGGUGGCUUGUUAAGUCAGACGUGAAAUCCCUCAGCUUAACUGGGGAACUGCGUCUGAUACUGGCGAGCUUGAGUGCAGGAGAGGAACGCGGAAUUCCAGGUGUAGCGGUGAAAUGCGUAGAUAUCUGGAGGAACACCGGUGGCGAAGGCGGCAUUCUGGACCGAAACUGACGCUGAGGCGCGAAAGCCAGGGGAGCAAACGGG
This 253-nucleotide ribosomal RNA is filed under the name uncultured bacterium. RNAcentral's name for it is "partial 16S ribosomal RNA". It matches the Rfam family "Bacterial small subunit ribosomal RNA", at positions 524 to 776 of the family's 1533-position model. The record is from RNAcentral.